Molecule: non-coding RNA, 135 nt
Organism: Triticum urartu
Lineage: Eukaryota; Viridiplantae; Streptophyta; Magnoliopsida; Poales; Poaceae
Source: Rfam
UUUCUACUCCCUCCGUCCGAAAAUACUUGUCAUCAAAAUGGAUAAAAAGAGAUGUAUCUAAAACUAAAAUACGUCUAGAUACAUUUCCUUUUAUCCAUUUUGAUGACAAGUAUUUCCGGACGGAGGCAGUAUUUG